Molecule: long non-coding RNA, 490 nt
Filed under: Numida meleagris (helmeted guineafowl)
Lineage: Eukaryota; Metazoa; Chordata; Aves; Galliformes; Numididae
Description: lncRNA (ENSNMEG00000000768.1)
Source: RNAcentral
AAACAAGAUGCAUUUUUGAGAUGAAAUUAAAACUGCCAGGCUGCAAUAUUGGGGAUGUUUGUUUAAUAGCGUGUGAUCCAGAGCAUGGAUCUGAUUUUCGGGAAUUUAUAAUAAUCUGUAUUUUGUCGUGUGCUGAGAAACGUAAGACAUCAUGGUUUUUCUCAAAGGUGACCAGACGAGUCUGCCAAAGGAGGGAGGAUGGAUACCACAGACGGGAUCCACGUUUGCAUUAAACCCUUGCGAGAAGGAGCAGGACAAGGAGCAGAGCAGUCACCCUGGAUUUCUGUGCCUUGAAGAGAACCUGCCCUGCUUUGUAACAGUGGUGCUCACCUCCAGGAGCCCUCCCUUCUUUUGCCCGCUGUGGAGACAUUUCCAAAUCUCCCUGCAAUCCAGGAGGAAGGGUAGAUUUUCUUUUUGUCAUCCUUCAUCAAGUACGGAGGCUCUGAGCGCAGAAGAAUUCCACUACAAUGCUGCAAGUUUCAUUUCAUAA